Molecule: non-coding RNA, 73 nt
Organism: Nowakowskiella sp. JEL0407
Lineage: Eukaryota; Fungi; Chytridiomycota; Chytridiomycetes; Cladochytriales; Nowakowskiellaceae
Source: the annotation of a GenBank genome assembly
GGCCGUAUAGUGAAGCGGAUAACACGUCUCCCUCCUAAGGAGAAGAUCCUGGGUUCGAAUCCCAGUUCGGCCU